Molecule: ribosomal RNA, 468 nt
Filed under: uncultured bacterium
Lineage: Bacteria
Description: partial 16S ribosomal RNA
Rfam family: Bacterial small subunit ribosomal RNA
Source: RNAcentral
GACGAACGCUGGCGGCGUGCUUAACACAUGCAAGUCGAACGGAAAGGCCCUGCUUUUGUGGGGUGCUCGAGUGGCGAACGGGUGAGUAACACGUGAGUAACCUGCCCUUGACUUUGGGAUAACUUCAGGAAACUGGGGCUAAUACCGGAUAGGAGCUCCUGCUGCAGGGGGGGGGUUGGAAAGUUUCGGCGGUGGGGGAUGGACUCGCGGCUUAUCAGCUUGUUGGUGGGGUAGUGGCUUACCCAGGCUUUGACGGGUAGCCGGCCUGAGAGGGUGACCGGCCACAUUGGGACUGAGAUACGGCCCAGACUCCUACGGGAGGCAGCAGUGGGGAAUAUUGCACAAUGGGCGGAAGCCUGAUGCAGCAACGCCGCGUGCGGGAUGACGGCCUUCGGGUUGUAAACCGCUGUCGCCUGUGACGAAGCGUGAGUGACGGUAAUGGGUAAAGAAGCACCGGCUAACUACGUG